GGAACGGGGGACGUGGGGCAUUUAAUAAAAUAAUAGUCUGCAUUCACUAAUAUACUGUAAGGGAACAUUUAGAAAAAUAGCAAACAACCGAGCCCAUGAUCGCAUGCUCUUCACAAGCAUGUGGGGAAAUUGCUCGAAUCUCCCCCGCAAUUUCUCCAGUGUGGGAAAAUAUGGAGAGCAAAAUUGCAAAGCAGUUGAGGACACACAUUCCUAAGAGGAUAGAAGAGUGAAAUCAUAUGAUAUGAAAACUGAGAAGCUACACUAGUGGACACCAGCAAAAACAAGGCUUUCAUUUAUUUGGAAAAAGAAGAUCCAAAGAUCAUGCUAGCCAACGUUCCUCAACUCGACAGUACCUCAACCAAAACAAAUUAAUAUUAGGCCAUUGCACAUUUCUCCUGAUGGAGAAAGGCAAGCAAAACCCAAAAGAGACCAUGUUUGUGCAUUGGUGCAAAAUACCACAGAGUUUUGCUUAUCUUUGAGAAGCAGCAUCUGCAACAAUACUUAUUGCAUGUAGGCUAUCCCGACUCUGAUGCAACCCUGUGUCUUGGGUUAUUUUCUGCCACACGCUCUGCAAGUUUCCCCUCGAUUCACUCUUUCCGAUAUCCACAUGCAUCUUCGGGGGGAGAGAAUGGGAAACUCAUCAACGAAGUGCCGCUUAAAUGUCACGGAUUAUUUUACGGUCUGGGCCGUUACGGGAGAAAACAUUUUUUUUGUUCCUGUUUUCCCUGUUUUUCCUCUUCGCCAGUUAGUUCGCCCGGGUGCUAAGCCAGCUAUUCUCCAUUCAGUUAUUGUUGUCUUGGAUGGCAGUCGAGCUCCUUGCCAUCCAGGAGUUCUAUACCAGGUGGUGUCAGAGGAAGACCCUAAAAAUUGUCAAAGACUCCUGCCACCCAAGUCAUAGACUCUCUGCUACAGCACGGCAAGAAGCACCGGAGCGCCAAGUCUGUGACCAAAAGGCUCCUGAACAGCUCCUGAAUGAAAUGGCUACCCGGACUAUUUGCAUUGACCCAUUUUUUUUUGUACUGGAACUAUGCACACUCACUAAACUCUAUUUGGACAGUGACACAUUUAGUUUUGUUUUGUUUUGGCUCUGUACUCCAGCACUUUGGAUUUGAAAUUAUACUGUUAAAGUGUAGACUGUCAACUUUAAUUUGAGAGUAUUUUCAUCCAUAUCGAACUGUUUAGAAAUUACAGCACUUUUUGUACAUGGUCCUCCCAUUUUUGACGUAGUAGAACGUUAUUUGGUCCCAUAUUCAUAGCACACAAUGAUUAUGUCAUCUUGUGACUCUACAAAUUGGUUGGAUGCAUUUGCUGUUUGUUUUGGAUGUGUUUCAGAUGAUUUUGUGCCAAAUAGAAAUUAAUGGUAAAUAAUGUAUUGUGUCACUUUGGAGUCACUUUUAUUGUAAAUAAGAAUUGAAUAUACAGUACCAGUCAAAAGUUUGGACACCUACUCAUUCAAGGGUUGUAGGAUAAUUGUAGGAUAAUAGGAUAAUAGUGGAUAAUAGGAUAAUAGUGAAGACAUCACAACUAUGAAAUAUCACAAAUGGAAUCAUGUAGUAACCAAAAAAGUGUUCAACAAAUCAAAAAAUAUCUUAGAUUCUUCAAAGUAGCCACCAUUUGCCUUGAUGACAGCUUAGCACACUCUUGGAAUUCUCUAAACCAG
Oncorhynchus tshawytscha (Chinook salmon) is the source of this 1660-nucleotide long non-coding RNA. The record is from Ensembl. Lineage: Eukaryota; Metazoa; Chordata; Actinopteri; Salmoniformes; Salmonidae.